This 132-nucleotide small nuclear RNA is filed under the name Derocheilocaris remanei. RNAcentral's name for it is "partial U2 snRNA". It matches the Rfam family "U2 spliceosomal RNA", at positions 25 to 155 of the family's 192-position model. Rfam says of the family: U2 is a small nuclear RNA (snRNA) component of the spliceosome (involved in pre-mRNA splicing). Complementary binding between U2 snRNA (in an area lying towards the 5' end but 3' to hairpin I) and the branchpoint sequence (BPS) of the intron results the bulging out of an unpaired adenosine, on the BPS, which initiates a nucleophilic attack at the intronic 5' splice site, thus starting the first of two transesterification reactions that mediate splicing. The record is from RNAcentral. Lineage: Eukaryota; Metazoa; Arthropoda; Mystacocarida; Mystacocaridida; Derocheilocarididae.
GAUCAAAGUGUAGUAUCUGUUCUUAUCAGCUUAAUAUCUGAUACACUCCCCAUUGGGGAGUCAGAAUAUUAAACUGAUUUUUGUAACCUGACGGAGUGCUCGGGGCUUGCUCCACCUCUGUCGCGGGUUGGC